GAUCACGUUGGGAUACCCGCUCAACUUAAGCAUAUCAAUAAGCGGAGGAAAAGAAACCAACAGGGAUUGCCUCAGUAACGGCGAGUGAAGCGGCAAGAGCUCAAAUUUGAAAGCUGGCCCCCCCGGGGCCCGCGUUGUAAUUUGCAGAGGAUGCUUCGGGAGCGGCCCCCAUCUAAGUGCCCUGGAACGGGCCGUCAUAGAGGGUGAGAAUCCCGUCUGGGAUGGGGUGCCCGCGCCCGUGUGAAGCUCCUUCGACGAGUCGAGUUGUUUGGGAAUGCACCUCUAAAUGGGUGGUAAAUUUCAUCUAAAGCUAAAUAUUGGCCGGAGACCGAUAGCGCACAAGUAGAGUGAUCGAAAGAUGAAAAGCACUUUGAAAAGAGAGUUAAACAGCACGUGAAAUUGUUGAAAGGGAAGCGCUUGCGACCAGACUCGCCCGCGGGGUUCAGCCGGCACUCGUGCCGGUGUACUUCCCCGCGGGCGGGCCAGCGUCGGUUUGGGCGGCCGGUCAAAGGCCCUCGGAAUGUAACGCCCCCCGGGGCGUCUUAUAGCCGAGGGUGCCAUGCGGCCAGCCCGGACCGAGGAACGCGCUUCGGCUCGGACGCUGGCAUAAUGGUCGUAAGCGACC
Molecule: ribosomal RNA, 625 nt
Filed under: Penicillium dierckxii
Lineage: Eukaryota; Fungi; Ascomycota; Eurotiomycetes; Eurotiales; Aspergillaceae
Description: eukaryotic LSU rRNA
Rfam family: Eukaryotic large subunit ribosomal RNA
Source: RNAcentral